Long non-coding RNA from Xiphophorus hellerii (green swordtail), 195 nucleotides. RefSeq lists it as uncharacterized. The transcript is spliced from 2 exons. The record is from RefSeq and is a predicted model, not a curated record. Lineage: Eukaryota; Metazoa; Chordata; Actinopteri; Cyprinodontiformes; Poeciliidae.
UGUUUCUGCUGGAGCUGAGCUAUCUGCUUGCUGCUCACCGCGAUCGACCAAAAGGUGAAAGAAGGUCACGACCUCUCCAGAGGUCAGGUUCUCACCUUCAGCUGGACCAGGCAGGUCGGCACCGCCAUCCGACUGACCGAGUCAGAACCGGUCACCAGGUCCACUCUCCAGUCCAGUUCCUUCAGCUGAGGGAGG